UACGGAGGGGGCUAGCGUUGCUCGGAAUUACUGGGCGUAAAGGGCGCGUAGGCGGGUCGUUAAGUUGGGGGUGAAAGCCCAGGGCUCAACCCUGGAAUUGCCUUCAAUACUGGCGACCUUGAGUAUGGCAGAGGUGUGUGGAACUCCGAGUGUAGAGGUGAAAUUCGUAGAUAUUCGGAAGAACACCAGUGGCGAAGGCGACACACUGGGCCAUUACUGACGCUGAGGCGCGAAAGCGUGGGGAGCAAACAGG
Molecule: ribosomal RNA, 253 nt
Filed under: uncultured bacterium
Lineage: Bacteria
Description: partial 16S ribosomal RNA
Rfam family: Bacterial small subunit ribosomal RNA
Source: RNAcentral